UCGUCAUUUUGCACGCAUGCUAACGCUUCCACCGGUGCGGCACUGUACAUCUUCUUGAAGCCUCACGCUCACAGGGCCGCAAGCGGAGCAGAGGGCAUGGCUUCAGCUGAAGCAGGGGAAUCCAGCAUGUCUGCGUUUGUGGCGGAAAGGAACGGAUCUGUCUCCUCGUGGGGCAUUUCUAACUACCCUGAUUCCGCUGUUUUUGGCAUCGAUUCGGAGAGGCUGAGCGUCCUAUGAGAGGUUGUCGAGGACGACCCCAGCGGCGGAUUCGCUGAUUUGUUGGAUUCUGUCGACGUUAGGACAGAAACAGACACCACGGAUCUAGACGAGAAUAGGGCUUCGAGGAUGGAUAAUAGAUAUGCGGCCCUUGAUGACAAAGUCGGGUGGGUUACAAGGAACAGGAGGGUUGCAGUGCCAGACGAGAGAGCAACAAGUGCUGACAGGGUGACAGCC
Molecule: long non-coding RNA, 453 nt
Organism: Triticum dicoccoides
Lineage: Eukaryota; Viridiplantae; Streptophyta; Magnoliopsida; Poales; Poaceae
Exons: 3
Source: RefSeq, a predicted model, not a curated record